Molecule: non-coding RNA, 980 nt
Filed under: Trichomonas vaginalis G3
Lineage: Eukaryota; Parabasalia; Trichomonadida; Trichomonadidae
Description: Eukaryotic large subunit ribosomal RNA
Rfam family: Eukaryotic large subunit ribosomal RNA
Source: Rfam by way of RNAcentral
AGGGUUAAGGCUAUUUAUAGUACCCGUCUGAAAACACGGAUUUAGGGAGUUUAUCUGUAGUGCGAGUCUUUGCACGUUAACUGUAAAGGCGUAGAGAAAGCAACUGGCGUUUGCAUGGCUACUGAGCAUUACUGAUAGGACCCGAAAGGUGGUGAACUUUGCCUGCACAGGUUGAAGUCAGGGGAAACUCUGAUGGAGGACCGUACGGGUUAUUGAUGUGCAAAUCAUUUUUCUGAUGUAGGUAAAGGUGCGAAAGACUCAUCGAACCACCUAAUAGCUGGUUUCCUCCGAAGUUUCCCUCAGGAUAGCUGUAAUGCAUUUAGUUAAGGGGAGUAGAGAUAUGGGUAGAGGUGCAGGGAGCCUUCGGGUUCUCAACUUAUUUCCAAACUUCGAACCUCCUUGUUAGGCAUUUACCUAACUGGAAAUGCUUAAAUGAAUUAGCGUUACAAGUGGGCUCUGACCGGUAAGCGGUCAUGGCGAAAUGGGAUGAACCAUACGUCUGAAUAAGGUGCCGAAAUGUACUAUCACUGAUACCAUAAAGGGAGUCCAUGUAUUUAGACAGCAGGUCGGUGCCCCUAAAAGCAGGUAUCCGCUAAAGAGUGUGUUAAAACUCACCUGCCGAAUACUAGGGCCCCGAAAAUGAAUGGCGCAUAUAGUACUACCGAUCUCAGACAUCAGUUCUAUUGAACUGAGAGUAGGGGGAUGUGGACAUUUUUGUGAAGGUGCAAUGUGAGUUGGACUGGAAGAAUGUCUAUUACAGAUCCUAAUUGAAGUAGCGAUUAUCCAGGCUUGUAUCCUGGGGGCUGAUGAGGAGUAGGGUUUCUGGACAACUUAAACAGAUCCAGAGUUAGUCGAUCCUAAUCUCAAUAAUGGGAGAAAGGGAGUACAGUUGAUAUUCUGUAACUGACAACAGUUCGCGGCAACGCAUACUAUUUUUCUCCGCCAAUCUUAUACCGUUGGUAGGGAUCUCUUUCCUACAU